RNAcentral lists this ribosomal RNA (1883 nucleotides) under human gut metagenome. Its description in RNAcentral is "bacterial LSU rRNA". It matches the Rfam family "Bacterial large subunit ribosomal RNA", at positions 3 to 1985 of the family's 2925-position model. The record is from RNAcentral.
UCAAGCUAUAAAGAGCACAAGGGGAAUGCCUUGGCACUAGGAGCCGAAGAAGGACGUGACUAACUGCGAUAAGCUACGGGGAGUUGUAAGUAAACAUUGAUCCGUAGAUAUCCGAAUGGAGCAAUCCGGCUGUGGUCAUGCACAGUCAUCAUAUACUGAAUACAUAGGUAUAUGAGGGGAACCGCCUGAACUGAAACAUCUAAGUAGGGCGAGGAAGAGAAAUCAACCGAGAUUCCGCUAGUAGUGGCGAGCGAACGCGGAAGAGGCCAAACCAGAGGUAGAAAUACCUUUGGGGUUCGGACAACAUACGAUAUUGACAAUUUCUAGCUGAAUAGUGUGGGAAAGCUAACCGAAGAAGGUGAGAGUCCUGUAAGCGAAAGGAAGAGUCAGUCAGUUGUAUCCAGAGUACCGCCGGACACGUGAAACCCGGUGGGAAUACGGGGGGACCAUCCUCCAAGCCUAAAUACUACCUAGUGACCGAUAGAGAAGAAGUACUGUGAAGGAAAGGUGAAAAGCACCCCGGGAGGGGAGUGAAAGAGAACCUGAAACCUUGUGUUUACAAGCACCGAAAGUCCAUCAAAGGACGAUCGGGUACCUUUUGUAGAAUGGUCCGGCGAGUGUAUGUAUCUAGCAAGGUUAAGCACUUAAGGUGUGAAGCCAAAGCGAAAGCAAGUCUGAAUAGGGCGACAAGUUAGAUGUAUACGACCCGAAACCGGGUGACCUACCCAUGGCCAGGCUGAAGUGAAGGUAAAACUUCAUGGAGGGCCGAACCGACUCCCGUUGAAAUGGUAGCGGAUGAGUUGUGGGUAGCGGAGAAAUUCCAAUCGAACCCGGAGAUAGCUGGUUCUCUCCGAAAUAGCUUUAGGGCUAGCCUUGAAAUAGAUUACUGGAGGUAAAGCACUGAAUUGGCUAGGGGCCGAAAGGUUACUGAACCUUAUCAAACUCAGAAUGCCAGAUAAUCGUUUUUCAGGAGUCAGACGGUGGGAGAUAAGUUUCAUCGUCAAAAGGGAAACAGCCCAGACCCACAGCUAAGGUCCCAAAUUAUAGUUAAGUGGAGAAGGAUGUGGGAUUGCAUAGACAACCAGGAUGUUGGCUUAGAAGCAGCCACUCAUUAAAAGAGUGCGUAAUAGCUCACUGGUCGAGUGAUCCCGCGCCGAAAAUUUAACGGGGCUAAACUAUAAACCGAAGCUUGGGAUACCGCAAGGUAUGGUAGGAGAGCGUCAUGUAAGGGGUGAAGUCAUAGCGAAAGCGGUGGUGGACUUUACAUGAGUGAGAAUGCCGGAAUGAGUAGCGAGAAUUAAGUGAGAAUCUUAAUGGCCGAAAGUCUAAGGUUUUUGGAGGAAGGUUCGUCCGCUCCAAGUAAGUCGGGAGCUAAGGCGAGGCCGAAAGGCGUAGUCGAUGCACAUACGGUUGAUAUUCCGUAACCACUGACAACUUAAACAAAAUGACACUUUAGAAGGGCUUGACCCGGGUGCUGGUAAUCCCGGGCGUAAGGGACCGAAAUUUAGUAGGGAAGCAAGCUUGGAUGGAGGCGAGAAAAGUUUUGUGUAUGUAAUGUUGGUGCCCGUACCGCAAACCGACACAGGUGGACAGGAAGAGAAUUCUAAGGCCAGCGGGAGAAGGGUAGUUAAGGAACUCGGCAAAUUGACUCCGUAACUUCGGAAUAAGGAGUGCUCGAAAGAGCCGCAGAGAAUAGGCCCAGGCGACUGUUUAGCAAAAACACAGGUCUCUGCCAAAUCGAAAGAUGAAGUAUAGGGGCUGACACCUGCCCGGUGCUGGAAGGUUAAGAGGAGGAGUGAGAGCUCCGAAUUGAAGCCCCAGUAAACGGCGGCCGUAACUAUAACGGUCCUAAGGUAGCGAAAUUCCUUGUCGGGUAAGUUCCG